RNAcentral lists this long non-coding RNA (1057 nucleotides) under Vulpes vulpes (red fox). RNAcentral describes it as "lncRNA (ENSVVUG00000013872.1)". Lineage: Eukaryota; Metazoa; Chordata; Mammalia; Carnivora; Canidae. The record is from RNAcentral.
UUGACAAGCAAACCCUGCACUAUGAAAUCACUUUCUCUUGUCACCUUGGGCCUCAAAUAGCCAGAGUUGUGCUCAUUGUUUCAUCUAGGGGGGCUUUUUUACAGCAAAAUAGAACCACUUAAGCAUUAACUACACUCAAAAGACACAGAGUUGCAACUCUCAAACUAGUGAUUUCCAGAAUGUACCCUCCCCCCAUCUAAUGUUGAACCACAAUUGCUUUUCAUGUAAAUACUAUCUGAUUGUAUUAAAAAAAGAGAGUGGUUCUCCCCUCUAACCCUCUCCCAAAAGAGAGAGCUGCCCAUUAUUUAGGGUUUUUUUUUUUCUUUCCUUCCCUCCUUAUCGUUUUUUAGAACAAAAGAAUAAUCUUUUCAUCUGGGAGGGCUUCAGGCAGAACAGUUUUGAGAUGUCAGCCAACCAAGAGAAAUAUGACAUUACCAUUCUUUGAAAUCUUGUUCUGAAACUGUGGUUUUGGUACCCAGAUCAACCGGGCACUUGGCAAUGAAAAAGCUAAAACAAAACAUUACUGAAAAUAGUCCUACAAUGGUAUGGUGUUUCUAGGAUAAUCGUUUGUUAUAUUUUAACAAACAAAAGUCACUUAAACCUUUCAUUCUAUUUUCAUGGCUGCACAGGAACAGACAUGAAACAUUUCACAAAGCUGGCCACGAGCUGCCUGUUACAGGGGCAAGAAGCAAUCAUGGAAAAAACUUCAGCAAUGGCAACAUUUUUCUAUACAGAAGAAUGUUGGGCACCAAGGAGAGAGACCUGGCCUGGAAUGAAGCCAACAUGGAGGAAAAGUGAUCUAAGAAAUAAUGUGCGACUGUGUCCUGGUGAUGCAUAUGACCUCCUGGAUCCAUCUCUGCCUAAAAACAUACUGAUUCUUGGCAUGUUUGAAGCAAUAAUUCCUCUUUGCUUAAUAUAAGUUGACCGGAAGAGUUGUAACUAAGUUAUGGGUGAUCAGAAGAGUUAAAGCAACUUAAGUAAGGCCAAUGUGACUAUACCCAAUGAUUUGCAACAUGUGAGCUCUGAAGUUUUAAGUAAUAAAGUGGCUAAGAUUCAU